AUUAAUACCGCAUACGCCCGGGAGGGGAAAGCGGGGGAUCUUCGGACCUCGCGCUCAAGGAGCGGCCGAUGGCGGAUUAGCUAGUUGGUGGGGUAAAGGCCCACCAAGGCAACGAUCCGUAGCUGGUCUGAGAGGACGACCAGCCACACUGGGACUGAGACACGGCCCAGACUCCUACGGGAGGCAGCAGUGGGGAAUUUUGGACAAUGGGGGCAACCCUGAUCCAGCAAUGCCGCGUGUGUGAAGAAGGCCUUCGGGUUGUAAAGCACUUUUGUCCGGAAAGAAAACUUCGUCCCUAAUAUGGAUGGAGGAUGACGGUACCGGAAGAAUAAGCACCGGCUAACUACGUGCCAGCAGCCGCGGUAAUACGUAGGGUGCGAGCGUUAAUCGGGAAUUACUGGGCGUAAAGCGUGCGCAGGCGGUGAUGUAAGACCGAUGUGAAAUCCCCGGGCUUAACCUGGGAACUGCAUUGGUGACUGCAUUGCUGGAGUAUGGCAGAGGGGGGUGGAAUUCCACGUGUAGCAGUGAAAUGCGUAGAGAUGUGGAGGAACACCGAUGGCNAANGCAGCCCCCUGGGCCAAUACUGACGCUCAUGCACGAAAGCGUGGGGA
RNAcentral lists this ribosomal RNA (611 nucleotides) under uncultured Burkholderia sp. RNAcentral describes it as "bacterial SSU rRNA". It matches the Rfam family "Bacterial small subunit ribosomal RNA", at positions 162 to 767 of the family's 1533-position model. Lineage: Bacteria; Pseudomonadati; Pseudomonadota; Betaproteobacteria; Burkholderiales; Burkholderiaceae. The record is from RNAcentral.